AAUGAACGCUGGCGGCGCGCCUAAUACAUGCAAGUCGAGCGAGAAGACGUAGCAAUACGUUUGUAAAGCGGCGAACGGGUGAGGAAUACAUGGGUAACCUACCCUCGAGUGGGGAAUAACUAGCCGAAAGGUUAGCUAAUACCGCGUACGCUCCUUGGACUUCGGUUCAGGGAGGAAAGCGAUACCGUGGGUAUCGCGCUCUUGGUUGGGCUCAUGUCCUAUCAGCUUGUUGGUGAGGUAACGGCUCACCAAGGCUUCGACGGGUAGCUGGUCUGAGAGGACGAUCAGCCACACUGGCACUGCGACACGGGCCAGACUCCUACGGGAGGCAGCAGUAAGGAAUAUUGCGCAAUGGGCGAAAGCCUGACGCAGCGACGCCGCGUGGGGGAUGAAGGUCUUCGGAUUGUAAACCCCUUUCGGGAGGGAAGAUGGAACGAGCAAUCGUUCGGACGGUACCUCCAGAAGCAGCCACGGCUAACUUCGUGCCAGCCGCCGCCGU
This 499-nucleotide ribosomal RNA is filed under the name uncultured bacterium. Its description in RNAcentral is "bacterial SSU rRNA". It matches the Rfam family "Bacterial small subunit ribosomal RNA", at positions 29 to 521 of the family's 1533-position model. The record is from RNAcentral.